UUUUGCCUUUUUUGGGGCAUUUCAGGUCAGCGAGCUAGCAGCAAUCGCCAAGGGUCCGGGGGACUUCAGGCGAUGGACGUGGAAAUGUGGAGCAAUAAGGUAGUGAUUAACCUGAGGCGGUCCAAAACGGAUGUAAUGGGAAAAGGAACGUUGGUUACGUUGUGGGAGCUCCCGGGUGGGAGAACUUGCACGGUUAAGUGCGCAACGGCCUUCUGGGAGGUGCGGGCAAUGGCCGGGGGUUCAUAUUUCAAGCAUGAGGAUGGCUCUUCGCUAUCGAAAUUCCAGUUCCUCAGGGUUUUUCGGAAGGCGUUGGCAAGGUUGGGUGUGGACCCGGGCCAAUUCGGGACACAUUCUUUCAGGAUUGGUGCGGCUACUGAAGCGGCGAGACUAGGUUUAGGUGACGAACGGGUGAAAAAGAUUGGCAGGUGGGAGUCCCUGAGGUUCAGGUCUUACAUUAGACCAGACAAGUUG
This 471-nucleotide long non-coding RNA is filed under the name Pelobates cultripes (western spadefoot toad). Lineage: Eukaryota; Metazoa; Chordata; Amphibia; Anura; Pelobatidae. The record is from RNAcentral.